UUUCCUUUAAGUAUUUUCUCAUCCAGUAAAGAAAUCUGUUACCAACUUCAUGUCUGGUACGUCCUGCAUCAAAGGACUGAAAUAUUAAACUCAUUUUUUGCUCAAGAUAGGGUGCUAAGAGCAUGCUCUACUUCUGUCGCAGCAUGCUUCCUCACUUUCGAACUCUCGUAAGGUGGUCGAUGCAUCGUCU
Molecule: small nuclear RNA, 190 nt
Organism: Schistocerca nitens (vagrant locust)
Lineage: Eukaryota; Metazoa; Arthropoda; Insecta; Orthoptera; Acrididae
Product: U2 spliceosomal RNA
Exons: 1
Source: RefSeq, a predicted model, not a curated record